RNAcentral lists this transfer RNA (95 nucleotides) under Acidimicrobiia bacterium. RNAcentral describes it as "tRNA-Sec". It matches the Rfam family "Selenocysteine transfer RNA". Lineage: Bacteria; Bacillati; Actinomycetota; Acidimicrobiia. RNAcentral also lists the same sequence under 1 other name. The record is from RNAcentral.
GGAGGCGACCGAGCGCCUGGUGGGCUCCCCGGUCUUCAAAACCGGUGGGGGGUCGAAAGGUCCCCGGCGGGUUCGAUUCCCGUCCGCCUCCGCCA